Molecule: ribosomal RNA, 2989 nt
Filed under: Salmonella enterica
Lineage: Bacteria; Pseudomonadati; Pseudomonadota; Gammaproteobacteria; Enterobacterales; Enterobacteriaceae
Description: 23S ribosomal RNA
Rfam family: Bacterial large subunit ribosomal RNA
Source: RNAcentral
GGUUAAGCGACUAAGCGUACACGGUGGAUGCCCUGGCAGUCAGAGGCGAUGAAGGGCGUGCUAAUCUGCGAUAAGCGCCGGUAAGGUGAUAUGAACCGUUAUAACCGGCGAUACCCGAAUGGGGAAACCCAGUGUGAUUCGUCACACUAUCAUUAACUGAAUCCAUAGGUUAAUGAGGCGAACCGGGGGAACUGAAACAUCUAAGUACCCCGAGGAAAAGAAAUCAACCGAGAUUCCCCCAGUAGCGGCGAGCGAACGGGGAGGAGCCCAGAGCCUGAAUCAGCAUGUGUGUUAGUGGAAGCGUCUGGAAAGGUGCGCGAUACAGGGUGACAGCCCCGUACACAAAAGCGCAUGUGCUGUGAGCUCGAUGAGUAGGGCGGGACACGUGGUAUCCUGUCUGAAUAUGGGGGGACCAUCCUCCAAGGCUAAAUACUCCUGACUGACCGAUAGUGAACCAGUACCGUGAGGGAAAGGCGAAAAGAACCCCGGCGAGGGGAGUGAAAAAGAACCUGAAACCGUGUACGUACAAGCAGUGGGAGCACAGGUUUACCUGUGUGACUGCGUACCUUUUGUAUAAUGGGUCAGCGACUUAUAUUCUGUAGCAAGGUUAACCGAAUAGGGGAGCCGGAGGGAAACCGAGUCUUAAUUGGGCGUUAAGUUGCAGGGUAUAGACCCGAAACCCGGUGAUCUAGCCAUGGGCAGGUUGAAGGUUGGGUAACACUAACUGGAGGACCGAACCGACUAAUGUUGAAAAAUUAGCGGAUGACCUGUGGCUGGGGGUGAAAGGCCAAUCAAACCGGGAGAUAGCUGGUUCUCCCCGAAAGCUAUUUAGGUAGCGCCUCGUGAAUUCAUCUCCGGGGGUAGAGCACUGUUUCGGCUAGGGGGCCAUCCCGGCUUACCAACCCGAUGCAAACUGCGAAUACCGGAGAAUGUUAUCACGGGAGACACACGGCGGGUGCUAACGUCCGUCGUGAAGAGGGAAACAACCCAGACCGCCAGCUAAGGUCCCAAAGUCAUGGUUAAGUGGGAAACGAUGUGGGAAGGCCCAGACAGCCAGGAUGUUGGCUUAGAAGCAGCCAUCAUUUAAAGAAAGCGUAAUAGCUCACUGGUCGAGUCGGCCUGCGCGGAAGAUGUAACGGGGCUAAACCAUGCACCGAAGCUGCGGCAGCGAACGUAUCACUUAAAGCGAUUCAGCGGGUUACGAUUGACGGAGCGAAGCGACGUCAAAGCGUAUACAAAGUCGAGUCGGUUUAAGGAUACGUUCGUUGGGUAGGGGAGCGUUCUGUAAGCCCGUGAAGGUGGCCUGUGAGGGUUGCUGGAGGUAUCAGAAGUGCGAAUGCUGACAUAAGUAACGAUAAAGCGGGUGAAAAGCCCGCUCGCCGGAAGACCAAGGGUUCCUGUCCAACGUUAAUCGGGGCAGGGUGAGUCGACCCCUAAGGCGAGGCCGAAAGGCGUAGUCGAUGGGAAACGGGUUAAUAUUCCCGUACUUGGUGUUACUGCGAAGGGGGGACGGAGAAGGCUAUGUUGGCCGGGCGACGGUUGUCCCGGUUUAAGCGUGUAGGUGUGUGUUCCAGGUAAAUCCGGUUCACUUUAACACUGAGGCGUGACGACGAGGCACUACGGUGCUGAAGCAACAAAUGCCCUGCUUCCAGGAAAAGCCUCUAAGCAUCAGGUAACACGAAAUCGUACCCCAAACCGACACAGGUGGUCAGGUAGAGAAUACCAAGGCGCUUGAGAGAACUCGGGUGAAGGAACUAGGCAAAAUGGUGCCGUAACUUCGGGAGAAGGCACGCUGACACGUAGGUGAAGUGAUUUACUCAUGGAGCUGAAGUCAGUCGAAGAUACCAGCUGGCUGCAACUGUUUAUUAAAAACACAGCACUGUGCAAACACGAAAGUGGACGUAUACGGUGUGACGCCUGCCCGGUGCCGGAAGGUUAAUUGAUGGGGUCAGCGCAAGCGAAGCUCCUGAUCGAAGCCCCGGUAAACGGCGGCCGUAACUAUAACGGUCCUAAGGUAGCGAAAUUCCUUGUCGGGUAAGUUCCGACCUGCACGAAUGGCGUAAUGAUGGCCAGGCUGUCUCCACCCGAGACUCAGUGAAAUUGAACUCGCUGUGAAGAUGCAGUGUACCCGCGGCAAGACGGAAAGACCCCGUGAACCUUUACUAUAGCUUGACACUGAACAUUGAGCCUUGAUGUGUAGGAUAGGUGGGAGGCUUUGAAGUGUGGACGCCAGUCUGCAUGGAGCCGACCUUGAAAUACCACCCUUUAAUGUUUGAUGUUCUAACGUGGACCCGUAAUCCGGGUUGCGGACAGUGUCUGGUGGGUAGUUUGACUGGGGCGGUCUCCUCCUAAAGAGUAACGGAGGAGCACGAAGGUUGGCUAAUCCUGGUCGGACAUCAGGAGGUUAGUGCAAUGGCAUAAGCCAGCUUGACUGCGAGCGUGACGGCGCGAGCAGGUGCGAAAGCAGGUCAUAGUGAUCCGGUGGUUCUGAAUGGAAGGGCCAUCGCUCAACGGAUAAAAGGUACUCCGGGGAUAACAGGCUGAUACCGCCCAAGAGUUCAUAUCGACGGCGGUGUUUGGCACCUCGAUGUCGGCUCAUCACAUCCUGGGGCUGAAGUAGGUCCCAAGGGUAUGGCUGUUCGCCAUUUAAAGUGGUACGCGAGCUGGGUUUAGAACGUCGUGAGACAGUUCGGUCCCUAUCUGCCGUGGGCGCUGGAGAACUGAGGGGGGCUGCUCCUAGUACGAGAGGACCGGAGUGGACGCAUCACUGGUGUUCGGGUUGUCAUGCCAAUGGCACUGCCCGGUAGCUAAAUGCGGAAGAGAUAAGUGCUGAAAGCAUCUAAGCACGAAACUUGCCCCGAGAUGAGUUCUCCCUGAGACUUAGAGUCUCCUGAAGGAACGUUGAAGACGACGACGUUGAUAGGCCGGGUGUGUAAGCGCAGCGAUGCGUUGAGCUAACCGGUACUAAUGAACCGUGAGGCUUAACCUU